RNAcentral lists this ribosomal RNA (271 nucleotides) under uncultured bacterium. RNAcentral describes it as "partial 16S ribosomal RNA". It matches the Rfam family "Bacterial small subunit ribosomal RNA", at positions 524 to 794 of the family's 1533-position model. The record is from RNAcentral.
UACAGAGGGUGCAAGCGUUAAUCGGAAUUACUGGGCGUAAAGAGCUCGUAGGUGGUUUGUCGCGUUGUUCGUGAAAACUCACAGCUUAACUGUGGGCGUGCGGGCGAUACGGGCAGACUAGAGUACUGCAGGGGAGACUGGAAUUCCUGGUGUAGCGGUGGAAUGCGCAGAUAUCAGGAGGAACACCGGUGGCGAAGGCGGGUCUCUGGGCAGUAACUGACGCUGAGGAGCGAAAGCGUGGGGAGCGAACAGGAUUAGAUACCCUGGUAGU